Molecule: ribosomal RNA, 254 nt
Filed under: uncultured bacterium
Lineage: Bacteria
Description: partial 16S ribosomal RNA
Rfam family: Bacterial small subunit ribosomal RNA
Source: RNAcentral
UACGGGGGGAGCAAGCGUUGUUCGGAUUUACUGGGCGUAAAGGGCGCGUAGGCGGUCGUGACAAGUCACUUGUGAAAUCUCCGGGCUUAACUCGGAACGGUCAAGUGAUACUGUCGGACUAGAGUACAGAAGGGGCAACUGGAAUUCUCGGUGUAGCGGUGAAAUGCGUAGAGAUCGGGAGGAACACCAAAGGCGAAAGCACUCUGCUGGGCCGCAACUGACACUGAGAGACGAAAGCGAGGGGAGCAAAUGGG